Molecule: ribosomal RNA, 1355 nt
Filed under: uncultured bacterium
Lineage: Bacteria
Description: bacterial SSU rRNA
Rfam family: Bacterial small subunit ribosomal RNA
Source: RNAcentral
AUUGAACGCUGGCGGCAGGCUUAACACAUGCAAGUCGAACGAUGAAACUCUAGCUUGCUAGAGAAGAUUAGUGGCGGACGGGUGAGUAACAUUUAGGAAUCUGCCUAGUAGUGGGGGAUAGCUCGGGGAAACUCGAAUUAAUACCGCAUACGACCUACGGGUGAAAGGGGGCGCAAGCUCUUGCUAUUAGAUGAGCCUAAAUCAGAUUAGCUAGUUGGUGGGGUAAAGGCCCACCAAGGCGACGAUCUGUAACUGGUCUGAGAGGAUGAUCAGUCACACCGGAACUGAGACACGGUCCGGACUCCUACGGGAGGCAGCAGUGGGGAAUAUUGGACAAUGGGGGCAACCCUGAUCCAGCCAUGCCGCGUGUGUGAAGAAGGCCUUUUGGUUGUAAAGCACUUUAAGCAGGGAGGAGAGGCUAAUGGUUAAUACCCAUUAGAUUAGACGUUACCUGCAGAAUAAGCACCGGCUAACUCUGUGCCAGCAGCCGCGGUAAUACAGAGGGUGCGAGCGUUAAUCGGAAUUACUGGGCGUAAAGCGAGUGUAGGUGGCUCAUUAAGUCACAUGUGAAAUCCCCGGGCUUAACCUGGGAACUGCAUGUGAUACUGGUGGUGCUAGAAUAUGUGAGAGGGAAGUAGAAUUCCAGGUGUAGCGGUGAAAUGCGUAGAGAUCUGGAGGAAUACCGAUGGCGAAGGCAGCUUCCUGGCAUAAUAUUGACACUGAGAUUCGAAAGCGUGGGUAGCAAACAGGAUUAGAUACCCUGGUAGCCCACGCCGUAAACGAUGUCUACUAGCCGUUGGGGUCCUUGAGACUUUAGUGGCGCAGUUAACGCGAUAAGUAGACCGCCUGGGGAGUACGGCCGCAAGGUUAAAACUCAAAUAAAUUGACGGGGGCCCGCACAAGCGGUGGAGCAUGUGGUUUAAUUCGAUGCAACGCGAAGAACCUUACCUGGUCUUGACAUAGUGAGAAUCCUGCAGAGAUGCGGGAGUGCCUUCGGGAAUUCACAUACAGGUGCUGCAUGGCUGUCGUCAGCUCGUGUCGUGAGAUGUUGGGUUAAGUCCCGCAACGAGCGCAACCCUUUUCCUUAUUUGCCAGCGGGUUAAGCCGGGAACUUUAAGGAUACUGCCAGUGACAAACUGGAGGAAGGCGGGGACGACGUCAAGUCAUCAUGGCCCUUACGACCAGGGCUACACACGUGCUACAAUGGUAGGUACAGAGGGUUGCUACACAGCGAUGUGAUGCUAAUCUCAAAAAGCCUAUCGUAGUCCGGAUUGGAGUCUGCAACUCGACUCCAUGAAGUCGGAAUCGCUAGUAAUCGCAGAUCAGAAUGCUGCGGUGAAUACGUUCCCGGGCCU